Non-coding RNA from Struthio camelus australis, 674 nucleotides. The record is from RefSeq and is a predicted model, not a curated record. NCBI's taxonomy places the organism in Eukaryota, Metazoa, Chordata, Aves, Struthioniformes, Struthionidae.
GUGGUCUCAGCCCUCUAGCAAGCUGCUUGCCAGGUCUGUUCAGGCUGUUCCUGCAGCAACUGCUCCUGAGGAAGAUGUCUCGAAUGUGUCACUGUGGGAGACUGCAAAACAAGAGAAGUUGCAGCCCUUCUCUCAUGUCUUUCCUGCUGGCUGGUGAUUCCUGCAUGAAGCUCUGUAGGCCUAUGUGAUUCCCUCCAGCAACCCAAGGAUGGGCAGAGGCAGGACAGCAGCAUCUCCAGGAGAUACAGGACUGCCUUGUACAGAUCCCAGCUUGUCUUGCUCUUAACUGAAUGCCACCCAUGAACCACAGUUCAUCAGGCAAAGCUUGACUUGACAUACAGAAGCUGAUGAUUUGUUAGGAGCCAGGAUUUGACAACACAAAGAAGUACUGCUGCUUAUCGGCUCUGACCUGCAUCUCCCAGAGCUUGGACUGCUUGUUUGGGCUCCUCUGGGCAGGAGGACAGGGAAGAGUGGAGUGUCCUUUGAAUGGGCUCCAGCAGCAACAGGUGGUGAGAAAGGCGAAGCGGAACGGCUCCUACUGGUGUAAAGGAUACUUCUCUCCCCACACUAAUCCAGCUCUGUUACACCCAGUAUAGAAGGGGCCACUCUGGCCAGGCGCUUCCACACUGCGGAUGCUGCCCUCCCACCAGCUCUGACUGCCUUCUGCAACAGAA